Molecule: long non-coding RNA, 277 nt
Organism: Rhipicephalus sanguineus (brown dog tick)
Lineage: Eukaryota; Metazoa; Arthropoda; Arachnida; Ixodida; Ixodidae
Exons: 3
Source: RefSeq, a predicted model, not a curated record
CUUACAGAAGACAAAAGUUCAUCAUUGUAUUGAGCAACUGGCUCGCCAUUGGUCACUGCUGCAGCAAAAUAAAUCCAAAUUAAGAUUAGCCUACGAUAAAACAGGCACAUUGCUUCACCACAUCGGUCAAGCAAGCUCGGUACCUGUGAGGAGUCAGACAUGAAAACUGCAGUUUUUCUAACGUUGGCCUUUAUUUCUGUAACUUCGGGUCAGGAUGGCAAUACAACAGCUGGAGUCGUAUCGGAGGCAACGAGAACUGCAAACACCAGAGUGACAA